UAUUGAUAUAUAUAUGAAAUCCCACAUGGAUUAAAUUUACUUUGUUUUGAGUAUUAUCUUUAAAUGGUCUGUAGAUAGUACUUCAGAAGCAUCAAAUUUCAAAGUUGAUAAAUGCUUUUUUCAGCAUGUAAUAUUUUUGUUUUCAACUCUGUUGGCAUCGACUUGACUUAGACAUAGAAAAGGAAGUUGGUAAUUAUUAAAAAUUCGAAGCUUAAGUUUCAAAGACUGAACUCUUAGGG
This 239-nucleotide long non-coding RNA is filed under the name Capsicum annuum. RNAcentral's name for it is "long non-coding RNA (CANN_LNC018904)". Lineage: Eukaryota; Viridiplantae; Streptophyta; Magnoliopsida; Solanales; Solanaceae. The record is from RNAcentral.